CUUGAUCGAGCCCAGCCGGAGCGGCGGGGCGUCGCCGCGGUCGCGUCCGUAGGUGGCCAGCAGCGCGUGCGCCUC
Molecule: antisense RNA, 75 nt
Filed under: Streptosporangium becharense
Lineage: Bacteria; Bacillati; Actinomycetota; Actinomycetes; Streptosporangiales; Streptosporangiaceae
Description: ASpks TB sRNA
Rfam family: ASpks TB sRNA
Source: Rfam by way of RNAcentral